Molecule: non-coding RNA, 73 nt
Organism: Pestalotiopsis sp. NC0098
Lineage: Eukaryota; Fungi; Ascomycota; Sordariomycetes; Amphisphaeriales; Sporocadaceae
Source: the annotation of a GenBank genome assembly
GCGCCCGUGGGCUAGUAGUUAAGCUGCUUCCCUCCCAAGGAAGAGACCGCGGGUGCAAAUCCUGCCGGGCGCA